AUGAGAAACUGUAGAACGGACUCGGUUUAUAUCACAAUACCUACAUUUAGAGCCGGUUAUUCAUUCAGUCUAAUGAGAAACUGUAGAACGGACUCGGUUUAUAUCACAAUACCUACAUUUAGAGUCGGUUAUUCAUUCAGUCUAAUGAGAAACUGUAGAACAGACUCGGUUUAUAUCACAAUACCUACAUUUAGAGCCGGUUAUUCAUUCAGUCUAAUGAGAAACUGUAGAACGGACUCGGUUUAUAUCACAAUACCUACAUUUAGAGUCGGUUAUUCAUUCAGUCUAAUGAGAAACUGUAGAACGGACUCGGUUUAUAUCACAAUACCUACAUUUAGAGUCGGUUAUUCAUUCAGUCUAAUGAGAAACUGUAGAACGGACUCGGUUUAUAUCACAAUACCUACAUUUAGAGCCGGUUAUUCAUUCAGCCUAAUGAGAAACUGUAGAACAGACUCGGUUUAUAUCACAAUACCUACAUUUAGAGCCGGUUAUUCAUUCAGCCUAAUGAGAAACUGUAGAACGGACUCGGUUUAUAUCACAAUACCUACAUUUAGAGUCGGUUAUUCAUUCAGCCUAAUGAGAAACUGUAGAACCGACUCGGUUUAUAUCACAAUACCUACAUUUAGAGUCGGUUAUUCAUUCAGUCUAAUGAGAAACUGUAGAACCGACUCGGUUUAUAUCACAAUACCUACAUUUAGAGUCGGUUAUUCAUUCAGUCUAAUGAGAAACUGUAGAACAGACUCGGUUUAUAUCACAAUACCUACAUUUAGAGCCGGUUAUUCAUUCAGUCUAAUGAGAAACUGUAGAACGGACUCGGUUUAUAUCACAAUACCUACAUUUAGAGUCGGUUAUUCAUUCAGCCUAAUGAGAAACUGUAGAACGGACUCGGUUUAUAUCACAAUACCUACAUUUAGAGUCGGUUAUUCAUUCAGCCUAAUGAGAAACUGUAGAACGGACUCGGUUUAUAUCACAAUACCUACAUUUAGAGUCGGUUAUUCAUUCAGUCUAAUGAGAAACUGUAGAACAGACUCGGUUUAUAUCACAAUACCUACAUUUAGAGCCGGUUAUUCAUUCAGCCUAAUGAGAAACUGUAGAACGGACUCGGUUUAUAUCACAAUACCUACAUUUAGAGUCGGUUAUUCAUUCAGUCUAAUGAGAAACUGUAGAACAGACUCGGUUUAUAUCACAAUACCUACAUUUAGAGUCGGUUAUUCAUUCAGCCUAAUGAGAAACUGUAGAACGGACUCGGUUUAUAUCACAAUACCUACAUUUAGAGCCGGUUAUUCAUUCAGUCUAAUGAGAAACUGUAGAACGGACUCGGUUUAUAUCACAAUACCUACAUUUAGAGUCGGUUAUUCAUUCAGCCUAAUGAGAAACUGUAGAACAGACUCGGUUUAUAUCACAAUACCUACAUUUAGAGUCGGUUAUUCAUUCAGUCUAAUGAGAAACUGUAGAACAGACUCGGUUUAUAUCACAAUACCUACAUUUAGAGUCGGUUAUUCAUUCAGUCUAAUGAGAAACUGUAGAACAGACUCAUUGCUGGUCACUAAUUCCUUCCUCUGGCCUAUAUAA
Pygocentrus nattereri (red-bellied piranha) is the source of this 1572-nucleotide long non-coding RNA. The record is from Ensembl. Lineage: Eukaryota; Metazoa; Chordata; Actinopteri; Characiformes; Serrasalmidae.